AGCGGCAACAGCUCAAAUUUGAAAGCUGGCCCCCCCCGGGGGUCCGCGUUGUAAUUUGUAGAGGAUGAUUCGGCGAGGGCUCCCGCCUAAGUCCCCUGGAACGGGGCGUCAUAGAGGGUGAGAAUCCCGUAUGCGGUGGGCUGCCUUAGCCAUGUGAAUCUCCUUCGACGAGUCGAGUUGUUUGGGAAUGCAGCUCUAAAUGGGAGGUAAAUUUCUUCUAAAGCUAAAUACCGGCCAGAGACCGAUAGCGCACAAGUAGAGUGAUCGAAAGAUGAAAAGCACUUUGGAAAGAGAGUUAAAAAGUACGUGAAAUUGUUGAAAGGGAAGCGCUUGCAGCCAGACUUGCCCGCAGUUGCUCAGCCGGUCUCCUGACCGGCGCACUCUUCUGCGGCCAGGCCAGCAUCAGUUCGGGCGGUCGGAUAAAGGCCCCGGGAACGUAGCUCCUCUCGGGGAGUGUUAUAGCCCGGGGUGGAAUGCGGCCAGCCUG
Molecule: ribosomal RNA, 487 nt
Filed under: Neoscytalidium dimidiatum
Lineage: Eukaryota; Fungi; Ascomycota; Dothideomycetes; Botryosphaeriales; Botryosphaeriaceae
Description: partial 28S ribosomal RNA
Rfam family: Eukaryotic large subunit ribosomal RNA
Source: RNAcentral